Molecule: ribosomal RNA, 437 nt
Filed under: Kingella denitrificans
Lineage: Bacteria; Pseudomonadati; Pseudomonadota; Betaproteobacteria; Neisseriales; Neisseriaceae
Description: bacterial SSU rRNA
Rfam family: Bacterial small subunit ribosomal RNA
Source: RNAcentral
AUUGAACGCUGGCGGCAUGCUUUACACAUGCAAGUCGGACGGCAGCGGGGGUGCUUGCACCUGCCGGCGAGUGGCGAACGGGUGAGUAACAUAUUGGAAUGUACCGAGUAGUGGGGGAUAACCAAUCGAAAGAUUGGCUAAUACCGCAUACGUCCUGAGGGGGAAAGCAGGGGAUCUUCGGACCUUGCGCUACUUGAGCAGCCAAUAUCUGAUUAGCUAGUUGGUGGGGUAAAGGCCCACCAAGGCGACGAUCAGUAGCGGGUCUGAGAGGAUGAUCCGCCACACUGGGACUGAGACACGGCCCAGACUCCUACGGGAGGCAGCAGUGGGGAAUUUUGGACAAUGGGGGCAACCCUGAUCCAGCCAUGCCGCGUGUCUGAAGAAGGCCUUCGGGUUGUAAAGGACUUUUGUUAGGGAAGAAAAGAGAAGUGUUAAUU